RNAcentral lists this ribosomal RNA (499 nucleotides) under uncultured bacterium. RNAcentral's name for it is "bacterial SSU rRNA". It matches the Rfam family "Bacterial small subunit ribosomal RNA", at positions 524 to 1022 of the family's 1533-position model. The record is from RNAcentral.
UACGGAGGAUGCAAGCGUUAUCCGGAUUUAUUAGGUUUAAAGGGUGUGUAGGCGGUAUUUUAAGUCAGUGGUGAAAUCUUUCGGCUUAACCGAGAAACUGCCAUUGAUACUGGAAUACUUGAGUAUAGUUGAGGUAGGCGGAAUAUGUAAUGUAGCGGUGAAAUGCAUAGAUAUUACAUAGAACACCGAUUGCGAAGGCAGCUUACUAAGCUAUUACUGACGCUGAUGCACGAAAGCGUGGGGAGCGAACAGGAUUAGAUACCCUGGUAGUCCACGCCGUAAACGAUGAUUACUCGUUGUUGGCGAUAUAUUGUCAGCGACUGAGCGAAAGCAUUAAGUAAUCCACCUGGGGAGUACGUCGGCAACGAUGAAACUCAAAGGAAUUGACGAGGGCCCGCACAAGCGGAGGAACAUGUGGUUUAAUUCGAUGAUACGCGAGGAACCUUACCUGGGCUUAAAUGUAGAGUGCAUUAUUUGGAAACAGAUAUNNCCUCGGCCU